This 291-nucleotide ribosomal RNA is filed under the name uncultured bacterium. Its description in RNAcentral is "partial 16S ribosomal RNA". It matches the Rfam family "Bacterial small subunit ribosomal RNA", at positions 775 to 1067 of the family's 1533-position model. The record is from RNAcentral.
GGAUUAGAUACCCUGGUAGUCCACGCCGUAAACGAUGAGAACUAGGCGUUGGGGCGUUAAGCCUUAGUGCCGUAGCUAACGCGAUAAGUUCUCCGCCUGGGGAGUACGGCCGCAAGGUUAAAACUCAAAGGAAUUGACGGGGGCCCGCACAAGCGGUGGAGCAUGUGGUUUAAUUCGAUGCAACGCGAAAAACCUUACCUAUCCUUGACAUCCUGAGAAUCUCUUAGAAGUAAGAGAGUGCCUUCGGGAACUCGGUGACAGGUGCUGCAUGGCUGUCGUCAGCUCGUGCCG